Molecule: ribosomal RNA, 253 nt
Filed under: uncultured bacterium
Lineage: Bacteria
Description: partial 16S ribosomal RNA
Rfam family: Bacterial small subunit ribosomal RNA
Source: RNAcentral
UACGUAGGGUGCGAGCGUUAAUCGGAUUUACUGGGCGUAAAGCGUGCGCAGGCGGUUCGUUGUGUCGGUGGUGAAAUCCCCGGGCUUAACCUGGGAAUGGCCAUGGAAACUGGCGAACUGGAGUGUGGCAGAGGGGGGUGGAAUUCCACGUGUAGCAGUGAAAUGCGUAGAUAUGUGGAGGAACACCGAUGGCGAAGGCAGCCCCCUGGGUUAACACUGACGCUCAUGCACGAAAGCGUGGGGAGCAAACAGG